Molecule: regulatory RNA element, 100 nt
Rfam family: Pyrrolysine insertion sequence mttB
Source: Rfam
UUAUGCGCUUCUAAACUGCCCGAUGCGCAAGCCGCUUAUGAAUCGGCUAAUACCCUUCAGACCGCUGCCCUGGCCGGCGUGAACUUUAUGCUUCACACCG